GGAUGAACAAAGCUUAGAAUUAUCAAACAUACCAGAACAGAUUGCACUAGAUUGGAGGCAAGCCUUAACCCUCAAGAAAAAAAUCGAAGAAAAAAUUACCAAAGAUGGAGUUAUUGGCAUCGGCAUUGCUACUGCUGCUGUGGAGUUUUGGUUGGUGGAAUUGCAGCUGCUUUAGCCCAGAAGAAUUGACCUGUGCAUUAUAAACAACUCUAUCGUGCAUACGUAUUGAACUCUAGCACAUGAAUUGCUAUUUGUGAGCGCAAAAAGUUUUGGUAGUUGCUUUGAAUUGGUAGAAUGGCAUGCAUUUCAUUUUCUAAUUUACAUUUUUAUACUCUUAUCGAAAAGCAUAUUGAUCAAGCUUGUUAAGUA
Capsicum annuum is the source of this 369-nucleotide long non-coding RNA. RefSeq lists it as uncharacterized. The record is from RefSeq and is a predicted model, not a curated record. The transcript has 3 exons. Lineage: Eukaryota; Viridiplantae; Streptophyta; Magnoliopsida; Solanales; Solanaceae.